UACGUAGGGGGCAAGCGUUGUCCGGAAUCAUUGGGCGUAAAGCGCGUGUAGGCGGCUUGGUAAGUCUGGUGUGAAAACUUGGGGCUCAACCCCAAGCCUGCACUGGAAACUGCCUCGCUUGAGUCCGGGAGGGGAGAGCGGAAUUCCUAGUGUAGCGGUGAAAUGCGCAGAUAUUAGGAAGAACACCGGUGGCGAAGGCGGCUCUCUGGAACGGUACUGACGCUGAGACGCGAAAGCGUGGGGAGCGAACAGGAUUAGAAACCCCCGUAGUCC
RNAcentral lists this ribosomal RNA (273 nucleotides) under uncultured bacterium. RNAcentral describes it as "partial 16S ribosomal RNA". It matches the Rfam family "Bacterial small subunit ribosomal RNA", at positions 524 to 796 of the family's 1533-position model. The record is from RNAcentral.